CCGUAGCCCGAUUGCAGCAUCUGUUUGAGCUCAUUUCUUUUGGUUUCGGCGCGGCAGCUUCGCUGCCGCGCCGAAACUAAAAGAAAUAGCGAGUGCGGAAAGCGGGAAAUAGC
RNAcentral lists this unclassified non-coding RNA (113 nucleotides) under Chryseobacterium arachidis. RNAcentral's name for it is "Flavo-1 RNA". Lineage: Bacteria; Pseudomonadati; Bacteroidota; Flavobacteriia; Flavobacteriales; Weeksellaceae. The record is from RNAcentral.